This 615-nucleotide ribosomal RNA is filed under the name uncultured archaeon. Its description in RNAcentral is "bacterial SSU rRNA". It matches the Rfam family "Archaeal small subunit ribosomal RNA", at positions 55 to 670 of the family's 1478-position model. The record is from RNAcentral.
AGGGUGCUUCUUCUUCGAAGAAGUAACCCGGCGGACGGCUCAGUAACACGUGGAUAACUUGCCCUUGGGUCCGGGAUAACCCCUGAGAAAUUGGGGACAAUACCGGAUAGGGCAUCGAUUGCUGGAAUGCGCGAUGUCCAAAAGCUGAGGCGCCCAAGGAUAGGUCUGCGGCCGAUUAGGUUGUUGUUGAUGUAAUGGAUCAACAAGCCUGCAAUCGGUACGGGUUGUGAGAGCAAGAGCCCGGAGAUGGGUUCUGAGAAAAGAACCCAGGUCCUACGGGACGCAUCAGGCGCGAAAACUUUACAAUGUGCGAAAGCACGAUAAGGGAACUCUGAGUGCCUCCUAUGGAGGCUGUUCAGGUGUCUAAAAAGCACUUGAAGUAAGGGCUGGGUAAGACCGGUGCCAGCCGCCGCGGUAACACCGGCAGCCCAAGUGGUAGCCACGAUUAUUGGGUCUAAAGCGUCCGUAGCCGGCCAGGUAAGUUCUUUGGGAAAUUUAACCGCUCAACGGUUAAGCUUUCAGGGAAUACUGCUUGGCUUGGGACCGGGAGAGGUCAUAGGUACUUCAAGGGUAGGGGUGAAAUCCGUUAAUCCUUGAGGGACCACCAGUAGCGAA